AAGUCGUAACAAGGUUUCCGUAGGUGAACCUGCGGAAGGAUCAUUAACACGUUUCCAAACGUUUAAUACUACCAAACAACUGCGUGAACCUGUCUUCUCCCUACCAUCUUCUAUGCGUCUCUGCAUUCAACACUCACUGUGGAUCGAUUGUGCGUAUCUCGGUACGACUUCGGAGUGGCAUUGACUAGCAGGCCGUUGAGCCAGCACAUAGAGUUUGAUUAGGCUAUUUUUUAUUCCACAGCUAUAUUUACCCCAUUCUUAACCGUCGGCUAGGGCUUCGGCCUCGACGUGCUAUUUGACUAAUGCUAACCUAUGUUGGGCAUUGAGCUUUCGGGCGAUGUGUUCCAGCCUUAGGUUGAGUUAUGUAUAUAACAAAGCACAACUCUUAGCAACGGAUAUCUUGGUUCUC
Molecule: unclassified non-coding RNA, 409 nt
Filed under: fungal sp.
Lineage: Eukaryota; Fungi
Description: partial internal transcribed spacer region
Rfam family: Eukaryotic small subunit ribosomal RNA (bases 1-46)
Source: RNAcentral